Molecule: long non-coding RNA, 594 nt
Filed under: Mytilus galloprovincialis (Mediterranean mussel)
Lineage: Eukaryota; Metazoa; Mollusca; Bivalvia; Mytilida; Mytilidae
Source: RNAcentral
GUCGCGAUUUUCGAAGCGAUGAUUUCCAACUGGCUAACAGGACGGUUUUGCCUACGGUAACUUUUCUCAUCAUUUGUUUACUCCUAUAUCUACAAAGUGCUUUGAACAUCUUCAAUGUAUAUAUAGCAUCAUAAAUAUGAGUAACUGUAACAAAAACAUGCAUUAGAAUAUAAAAUAUACGUGUGCAUCACAUCAACUUGGUAGAAAAAAGUGAAAUCGAUGGACAAGUUUGCUCUCGUAGUACAAAGCAAAUAAUCUUUUAUUGCAAAUAUUUGCAUCAGUUUACAGUUAAAUAUAUACUGUUUCAAUAUUCUUUUCGUAUUUAAGUAGAAUAUUCGUAUUUCCCAUAAAAAAUAUGUUUUCCUUGAGGAUCCCAAAAUAAAUUACUGUACGAUCAGUCUAGAACUGACUGUAUUCUAGAAGCGAUUUCAGAUUUUUUGACUGUAUGACCAGUCGUGAUUUUGAAGAAAAAACAAAAGCAAUUUGAAGGUAUAUACGUGUAUAUGUGAUAUUAUGAACUAUCCAGGGAACUAUAACGUGUAAUUACUUUCAUCAGACAAUACAAAUAUAUUUCUGAUGCAUUUUUUAGACGGC